CCUACGGGUGGCAGCAGUGGGGAAUAUUGGGCAAUGGGCGCAAGCCUGACCCAGCAACGCCGCGUGAAGGAAGAAGGCUUUCGGGUUGUAAACUUCUUUUGUCAGGGACGAAGCAAGUGACGGUACCUGACGCAUAAGCCACGGCUAACUACGUGCCAGCAGCCGCGGUAAUACGUAGGUGGCAAGCGUUAUCCGGAUUUACUGGGUGUAAAGGGCGUGUAGGCGGGGAAGCAAGUCAGAUGUGAAAACCACGGGCUCAACCUGUGGGCUGCAUUUGAAACUGGUUUUCUUGAGUGCUGGAGAGGCAAUCGGAAGUCCGUGUGUAGCGGUGAAAUGCGUAGAGAUACGGAGGAACACCAGUGGCGAAGGCGGAUUGCUGGACAGUAACUGACGCUGAGGCGCGAAAGCGUGGGGAGCAAACAGGAUUAGAUACCCUGGUAGUC
RNAcentral lists this ribosomal RNA (443 nucleotides) under uncultured bacterium. Its description in RNAcentral is "partial 16S ribosomal RNA". It matches the Rfam family "Bacterial small subunit ribosomal RNA", at positions 338 to 795 of the family's 1533-position model. The record is from RNAcentral.